UUACUGGGAGCUGGACUAGACGAGAAGUUUUUAAGAAGAUUGUCUUUGGAAAAUAAUGUUUCAGUUUAUUAGGAUGUAUGGUGUGUGUAACAACUGAGCUGCUAGGAAGACCUUUGACAUGCCUGCAGCAAAUCCUGAAGUAUUCCAAUGAAAAUGGGCAUUUGAGCUGCAUUUGCUUGACUCAGAUCAGUCUAAAUGGACUUCAGAUGGCACCUUACAUGCCCUUUCCUCUAUUCCCAUUUAGAACUGAACAUUCAUCAUAUUAGACAGAGAUCAACCGAAGUCACAACCAAGAGAUUUAUGCCAGAACCUGAUCUGAUCUCAAGCAAAAAAUGCCUUCAAUAUAAGAAGAACUGCUGCAACUGAAUUCCUCUCAGAGAGAAGUAUCUGUCAGAAACUCAACUCAAGCUGAUACACAACAUGGAAGCUAAAUGAGGAUUAAAACGAAGCUACCCAGACAUCAAGAAGAACAGAAGGGGAAAGGUAACUCACUCCAGUGUGGAAUAAAGUAAUACAAACAACACGGUAUGAAUCUGCAGAAACCUGAGGCAAAAUGCCUUAAGAAACAAGAUGUAAGCUGUGCAACUAAGGAAGUCUGGGUUUUUAUGGCUAUGAAUCCUGCAUCUCUUUGCAAGCAGCCCACCUUCCUUUAUGGCACCGGCAACACACUUUGGCCCCAUCUUCCAGCCCCCCUCAGCCCCUCUGCAGCGCUCAAGCUUUCUGCCUGGCCCCUCACUGCUGCGGGGGGAGAACACCGCGGGCUACGGCUAGCUCCACGCUGGCCCCGUGCUGGCCAUGUGCCAGCCUGAGGACAAAACACACCAGGUAACUGUUCAUCUCUAAGUCUUUUUCUCAGGGAAUUCUGUCUGGCGUCACGGAUCGUCCGUCUCUGAAGCGAGUUCUGCCUUUUACCCAACUGCUGAUAUUUACAGAAUUGGAAGAGUCUGACUGGAGACAUUUUAGGCUUCAGUUAAAAUUGGCUUAAGUAGACCACUGAAUUCAAUUCUAACUAGGGACCACAAAUAAGCAAAACCACAGCACACUGAAGCAAGUUUCAUGUCCAUAAGAAAUGGGGCUUUUUGUGGGUACACAGAGAGAUCCUGUGUAAGCUUUUACCAGCAUUUUCUGCUGUGGUGAACAAGAUAAGCUAUACUGCGACUUGGCUCUAACAAACUCACAAGCCUUCAUCUUGAUAAUCGACAAUAAUGAGAUUUGCAAGUGGCUACCCAGCCAGUACUGGCCCCUUAAGGGCACGGGUCUGACAUACUACACUGUUCGACUAACACAAAACUGAAAUCUCUAAACUCAUCAUGCGGUUCUAUAUGUUUCUGACUGAGUGCGUACGCUUUUUAAAUCCAGCUCAUGAAGAAAACCCUUAAGAGCAAUGACGCUGAGGGCAAAACUGGCAGGACCAUUAAUUUUUUAAAAUGAAUUCCUACAACAAUUUGAAAAAAUACUCUACAUUUUCCUAUUAGCAUGAAUUACUAGUUUGGUUAAAAAUGUAGGCUAAAACUUUCAAGCUCGUUUGCCUAAAGUUACGCACCUAAACCAAUAGUUAAACAUGUAUGAAUACAGAAGUACAUGCCAGGAUAUGUUUUUGCAGUCAUUUGGUAUGUAUUUCUGGACCUCUUUAUUUUUCCUUUACCUUUUCUGAGGUGGGAUAAUCAGUUCUGAGCACACCAUUCAAGGUGAGAGCAUAUCACUGAUUUAGAACUGAACAUAUCAGCAUGUUUUCCCCUUAUUACUACUGUUUUAAAUAAAUGCUGUAAUUAGCAUUAUAUAUGCUAUAUAAUUAGCAUUAAAUUGCUCUAAUACAGCUACUAAUUCUGUAAAAAGGUAUACAGUUUUCCCAGUGAACUAUGCCAAGUCUUUUUUUUUCUUUUUCUUUUUAAUAAAUAGUUUAAUUUGGACCUAUAAGUAAGACUUACAUGAUAGAUGCAGAAAAGUGCCAUAUUGUGAAGGAGUAGGAAAGGGAGCAACUUAACGAUGUGCACACUCUGAAUAUAUUUUGGCUUGGGAGUUUGGGAAUUUUGGCUAAGAGACAGUGGGUCCAUUAUGAGACCAUGGUAAUAAGACUAAUAGUCAUAACAAGUUAGACCAAUGGACCAUUUAGCUCAGUAAUCUGUGUCUUCUAGGAGCCAACAGUAGAUACGUAGGAAGGGAGCAUCAAAAUCAGAGUCUUCUUGCAGCACUAGGCACUGUUUGGACUGUGGCCUCAUGGAUUAUUCUUUCUUGAAUUUGCCUGCUUAGUUUUUUGGACUCCUGUAAACUACGGCAUCCUCAAUAUUUUGUGCAAUUACAUUUCUUCUUAAGCUGCAGGUUGCAAGAAGAACUGCGUACUUCCAUUGGUUUUGACCCUGUCACCUAAUGAUUUUAUUUGAUAGCUUGUAGUUGUUGCAUUAUGAGAAAGGAUAUACAACCAUUCCCUCUUUAUCUUCUUCAUGCUACUUAUGAUUUUAGACUUCAGUAUUAUUGAAGUUCAGUAAGCCUGCUAGAUGAAAUGAGUAACUCCAGAAAAACACAUCCUUGCAUGCAUGAUAAAUGAGCUAUCAUACAUAAAGAUGCUCCCCAUAAUUAACAUGUUUAGUGAAUACUAUGUUGAUCCUUUUUCAUGUAGCUACAAGAUUCUAGUUAGAUAUUUCAAGCCAACUAUUGUUUCUUCACACAUAAUUGCUACAGAACUUGUAGAAAAACGUCCAUUGCCAGAAGCUCAUGUGAUUUCAUGAGCUGCUGAUAAUCAUACCCAACGAUUUUUCAGACUGGGUGAGAUAUAUCAACCGUAAAAACACUCUUUGCAUGGGACAGAAAAAAGGAAGAAAGAAUGCAGUUGCAAUGUUUAUACGAAAUAUGCAAUCUGGAAAAUAAGAAUGGAAAGUUGCAAUUUUUUCCCCCCUUGUAACCUGGAAACUGUUCAAAAAAACAAUCCCAUUCUACUCUGUAGAUUUCUUUCCAUCUCCCUCUAAGCUGUUGAGAAGUAUUUACAGACCAUGCCAUGCAUAUUCUUAUUAUGAAGUUAUCUUACCUGACCCAUUUUUCAGGUAUCCAUUUGCGUCUACAGUGGUGUACAUGAUGUAAGGACCAGGCUGAUUAACACCAAAAGGCUACAAGGAAAAAAAAAGAAAAAAUUGGCAAAAUUUUAUAUUUAUUUCUUUGAUUUUAGGAACAGACAGAGCUAUACUAAUAAAACAGUAAACCAAAGAGAAACUUUCAUAGAUUAAUAGUUUCCUUAGUAUAUGGAUAAUUCUGAAAUCAAAGUUAUUUUAGUCAUAGCGUUACGCAAAAAUUCAUUUUCAUAAUAAGGCUAAUCUGCUGACUAAGUAAUAUUACUGCUGUCAGUUCUUUUCAAAACACACUUUCAUACACCAAUAAAAAGCUCUCUAAAACAGAUUGUUUUCAGUACAGGAAAUUAAAAAAAAAGAACCAAUACACACACACACAAAAGAAAAACCCAUGCUCCUAACACCUAAAUACUUUAAAAUGUCAGCAUUAGCUUGAGGAAAAAACAUAGGCAAAAUACACAGUGUUUUUUUCCCAAUACUUAAUGUUAUUUUUGGAAGGAGAAAACAAAGAUUAUGAAGAGCCCCAAGGCGUGCUCGCUCGCUCUCUCAAAAAAGAAAAUACACAACAGACAAAUGUUCAACUCUUAAAAAAAGGUGCUUUUAAGAUACCAGGGAAACUGAUCUAAACCAAUCUAAAGCGUCUUUAAAAGUAAUUUCAAGUUCACUUCAAGACCAUACCACAACAAGGUUUACAAUUCAGAGUCGACCAAAGCUUUCUGGCCCUAUAUUUCAUGCAUUCAGAGCUGCCGCGCUUCCAUCGCGCUGCUCUCGUGCAGCACUGCGUCGGGGCAUGUCGCGCAGGGGCAGCGGGUCCGCUGGUGCAGGCCUGACGCAUAAAGGGAACCUGCUUUCCUUCCUGUCAGGCAGGAAAUUGUAACGCAGGAACAAAGUGACACUAUUCAGUCCCAUGGCAGAGGUUUAAUGUUUCCUAAGGAGCUACAAGUAUAGGAAAAAACUAAAAAUUCAAAGAAGUUGUAACUGCCUGUUUUAAAAAAGUAGAAAUCAUUCAAUAUCUUCUGAGACUGUACUGUUUUUAUGGCCUUUUUGAAUCUGAAAAUACAUACAAAAAUUCAACGCUGUGUUACCAUUAUUUAGCACUGUUCUAUUUAAUGAAAGUGACUGAAUAAAGAACUUGUCAAAUGGCAGUAUCUACUUUAAAUAAUUUCUUUUGAGGGAGAAAACAUGUUUAACCAAAGUACAAUUGGGGGGGGGGAGAAAAAAAAAAGUCAAAGGGAGUUGUGGAUCACUGAGUGAUGAACCAUAACAAAUUUAGCUAAGGAACAUUGAGGGAAGGAAACAACAACAAAAAACCCACAAAUAUCUUGUACAGUGGGGAAGGGAAGGGAAGCAGUUAGAAGAAAAGAUUUUCAAGAAAGUUUUAUUUUUCCAUGUUGAUAUGAGGGCAUUAAAUCUAGAAAAAGGUCUUUCAGAUCAGUUGCAGAAAUGACACUAAAAAGAAGAGAUGAUGACACAUUUCACACUAUAGCUCAGAAAAAUAGUAAGUUGUAAACCAUAAGAGUAAGUGAUGAUGAGAUCAAAGCUGGGAAAAUAGUAAUGGCCAGAAUGGAAGGCAAGGAGACAGCAAAGAAGAUGUUAAUGCAGAUCCAUGAGAGAUGAAUAAAUGAGGUGAAAUUUUAGAUUUUUUAAAAAUUAUUAUUUUUUUUUGCCAAGUGGCUGUAUUCUGACAUAACAUACAUCCUGACACUUUCUGACAGAGAGUUUCAUUUACAGUGAAGGCAAUAAUACUUCAAUGAUUUUGAUAAUGAAGUGCUCACCAGCAUCUGUUGUGAAGGUUUACUUUUUCUUUGAAACCUUCUCUUUAGUUUUCCAGUUAAGCUAAUAAUAGCAUCAACCUCCCUUAUAAUAUCACAAAAGAAACUUUAUAUCUUAAAACAGGCUUGAAUAAAAAGUUGGUCCCAUUUGAAACAGUUUUUGGAUUUCCAAAUCAAAAUGAAAUUUCAUAUGGUAGCACAGCUGAAGUGCAAUUACUAGUUUUGAUUUCUCUAAGCUCCUCUUUUAGGCCAGCUUUCACUGUGAACGUAGUAAUUUGUUAACUGAUGGCUUGGUGGGUGGCUUGAGGGGUCUCUGGAGAUAAUUCAAACAACUGAAGUAGAAAUCAGCACAUUUAUAUAUGGUUAACCUGCAGCAUCAUCAGAAUUAAGUUCCUUUCCCUUUCCUUUUCUUUGUUGCAUCCCUUGCUGUACAUCACUGUAUAUUCUGUGCCGCCCAGAAUCUGGCCAUCUGGCAGCCCGUGACUGACUCCAUCAUAUAAUCGGUUUGGCCUGGCCUUUGCAACCACUCAGAGCAAGACGUGACAGGCUAGGCAGCGUGGGCAUCUAGCGGUGUUACACAGGUCUUUCUUACUAGUAUCUGGUGCAUCCCUGCCCCUCUAAUGCUAAGUAAAAAAUGUUGCUGCAGGAUCAGUCCAUUGGUUUCAUCUCUAAGCAGGCAGCGAGAAAACGACUUGGGUUUCAAAAUACGCAGAACGUGGCCAUGCAUGAUUUGGAUGACACACUGCUCCAGGCAGGAACUGUCUCAGUUAUAUGGACAGCUCUCAGUAUAAUUAGGCCCCAGCGUAUUUUGAAGCUAAAUAGUAAUGGGAAGUUAUAGUUAUACUUACUGUUAUUUUCCGAGGGCAGUCAUUAGAACAGAGGCCACUGAGAACUAUGGAAAAACAAAAAUUUAGUUUACAGCGUUUACAUUAACAAGCCAUUUUACAAGUACUACCUCUGAAAUCUAUUCAAGUUUAUUAACUGUCAUGUAGCCAUUAAAAUACAUACAAAAAUUACUGCUAUAUGAGUUAUGUUAAUGUACAAAAGAAUUCCUAAUUUCUUUGAAGUAUACUGCUUUGCUGAAAUUAAUCAGCUACUCGCUGUUUUAUCACACCUAUUUGGUUAACCAGCUUCAAAAGGGGAGAUUUGCCAGGUAAAAGAAUUCCAAAUUAAACCAUGUUAGAAAUAGCGCACCAUACACUUUAUUCAUUAUCUUUCAUUUCUGUCCAUUAAUAAAUACUUGGUAGAGAUCCAACUUUACUGUUUUAAUUGGUAAAAAGGUUAGUAAAGGCUUUUUCUUAUAUUCAAGUUAUAGUUUCAGAACUUGAUUUAAAGAAUUUUUUAAAAGUUGUAAUAAACUGUGAAAAAAUCCCACUAUCUAAUUAUUCUACGAAUUCUAAACUAUUAUAAGCUGACAUCUAUAAUGGUGCUUUUUUUAGAAGGUUUUCUGCAUGCUCAUGUGAAUUAUACUACCCAAACACAGUAACAGAAUUAUUUACAAGGAGGCUUCCAUCAACAUGACAAACCAUUACAGUCUAUUAAGGUAAGAAUAAAGCCCUGACUAAGGAGAAAGUAAUAAAUGCAUCAGCCCCCAGUAGUAGCUGCAAUUCUGUUUAUCUUACAAUGUGCAGAAUAUCAGCAUAAGAAGGAUUACGUGCAUAUAACUGACACGAAAGCAAAUAGAAUUUUUCCAAGGUGAACAUCCAGUUGAUCUUGUUUAUUUUUUUCCUCAUGUGCUCACUUAAGAGUUAUUACUUCUUAAAACUCAAGGAAGAUAGACAGCCAAAGAGCUCUAAAGUUCAACACCUUUGCAGUCUGUCAGAAGACGGCAGGGCAAGCAAGUUCAAGACCUAAUUACUCUCAAUCACAAGUACCGCAAUCUAACUCUGGCCUUGUAAACCGAGGCUCUAGUUAAUUCACAUACCCGUGCCGUAUUAUUUGCCAUUAUAAGCUUUUAUGGUAAGACGUGUUUUGUGCCAUGCAGUGUUUUAGGUUGAAAACAACAAACUGACUCACACAUGGAAACAAACUAGCUCUUGGAACAGAUCAUGGAGAAUAAGGAAAAUACGCACCACGCAAAAGGGCACUGAAAUGAAACCAGCCCAUUUUGCACUAGAUGACAUUUCCAAAUGAUUGGAAAAAGAAUUACAGUAAAGUGGGCUUGAGAUGACAGACGUAUGGGGAACUGACAGAAGCCAUUGUCAGAAAGAAAAUACUGCAACCGCUCACAGUGCAGAUGAAAAUAAGUGCACUUGGCUGUUGUUUCUUGCCUCGGUUUCUGAAAAUAGGCAAGAUAAAAAGGCAGCCAUUGUGGACAAACAAAACAUUUUCAUUCAAGUCAAUAUUGCUGAAAUUUCUUCUGGUUCCUUUUGGUAUAAUUAUAGCGUGUGUGUAAGCAUGAUUACAUUUUUCUCUGAUUAGCAAUUAAUGAGCUAAUCUUCCUCCAAUCCCAAAUAUUAUCAGGCAUGAAAAAUCAGAAAUGAAAAAGUUGAAAGACAGGUACACAUAGAUAUAAUGGCAUUUUUAUAUUGACAACAUUACCUUCAUUUAUCUCCUCACAUAAUAUGUUGUGCAGAAGAUUCACAGAAUCAUAUUAGGGUUUGAAGGGACCUCAAGAAAUCAUCUAGUUCAAUCCUUUCUCUCAAAAAUAAUUACAAAUACUGCAUUAUUUCUUAACUUAUUUAUAAGAAUCUCUAACAUUGGCAACUCUGCAGCUUCUCCAGGAAAUUUAUGUUAGUACUUCAUAAUCCGUCAUUUAAGAUAUUAUUCUUACUAUUUACCCUGUGUAAUUUAACUUUGUUACUUUCUUUCCUAUCCUGCAGGGACAUGCAAAACACUUCCCCCAUCUUUGCAGAAACUCAUUGUGUCCUGAGGACUUGGAUCUUCCUUACAUUUCUCUUUUAGGCUGAAUAACUCAGUUCCACUGUUCUUUCCUUGUAGCUUACAUUUUUAGACACUUGAUAAUUCUCAUUUUUUCUUCAGAAGCCAGCUGAGAGAUGAAUUUUUGAGACCUAAUAUCUGUCUUUGGAGUUUUGCUAGGAUGCCGACGAGGAGAAGGAAAUCGCCAGCGUGAAAGGAAAGAUUUAAAUUGCCUCUUGUUAACAGUGAAAGACAACACGCCUUCUUGUAAAAUCAAAACCACGCAGAAACAAUGAACUCUUAUUUAAAAAGACAAGGUGGUCAAAACUGACAUUAAAAACAGCUAAAAUACUGAAAAUAGUUGGCAGAAUUACUCUGAAUUUAAGUAAACACACUAAAACUCCAGAAAAAAACCUUUGAAAACAAAAAAGACUUUGAAAACAAAAACAUUUUAUAAUGUUGCAGAUUUCUGCAAUCCCUAAGGUUUUCCAUGCUAUGUUUUUUCUUUUCUAGCAUUAUCAUAUACAGGGCGUUAUUAUGGUGUUAUCAUACACAGAAGGUCAAAUAUUCACAUUCCUCUCAAAGUCCUAUUUUUUUUGAUUUUACAGUGAUCACUUACCAAUAACUUUAACAAAAUAGGCAUCUGCUUCAAAGUUAUUUUUUAACGUAUGGAUAGCGAAGUCCUUAUUGAAGUAGCCUUUGCUUAGUACAAUGAUAUCCAAGAUCCCCUGAGGGAGAGAAAGAGGGGGAAAAAAAACAAAGUUAAAAUUAGAAAGCAGGUUUACUCAAAAUAACAUCUAAACCCAGCAAACAGAUUCUCUUAGGUUAAAAAAAAGCAUGCGUGCAAAGGUUGCACCUCCACUACUAAUCGGAAUACCUUUCCGAGGAUAUUAAUCUACGGCCAUUUACGACGGAGCGCUUCACCCGCAGCUACCCAGGACAAGGCCCCUGCUCCACUUCCUUGCUGCCCCUUUGCUGAGAGCGCGGCUCAGGGGAGCGUACGACGGUGGGCACGCUCUGCCUCCCGCGCGCGACGUGCUGCUGCUGGCUGCCACCUCCCAGGGAGCCUCCCGCGCGCCAGCGGGAAUGUCCCGGGGGCCGGCACCGCCUGCCCCGCGUGCUGCGGCCGGUGCUGCUGCGAGGCAGCCGCGCGUUCCUGCUCCCGCGUGGGCAGCAGCCCCCGGACUGCAGCAAGAGACAGGCUGGUUACUGCAGGAAAGAGCUGAACUUACAUCUUCGUAUAUGUCAAAGAAGGUCGCUACCACCGCGUCCUUGAUUUGAUUUAGAUCCGAGAGCUCCCAAUAAACUUUAAACAUACGACGUACACUCUUGCAGCUCACAUUAUUGCACGGGACAUUUUCUAGUAAAAAUGCUUGCUGAUUGCUGUAAAACAUAUAUGUAAAACAACAGAUAAUGUUAUUUCCUUUAAGAGGUCUAAGCAAUAGGCAUUACAAAAAUAUUGUAAAUAAAUAAUUUGAGCCUAAUGAAGUUAAGUAUCAUAUAAACAAAGCUAGCAGCCACCAGAUACUUUAAAUCCAUGAGCACUUACAUUAACCUUGCAGGCAGAAUUACAGCCAGUAUGUAAUGCCUGAUUUAAACCAAUGAAUACACUAAAUAAAUGAGUACAAAUCAGGAGGAAUCAUUUCAUUAACCAUCUACUCAAAAGACCCAACUUAUUCUUACUUUAUUCUGGGACAAGUACAAGUGCAUUUAUCUGCCAUUUUCUUAGUCCCUCCAUGGUCCUUCAGCUUAAAUACUACUUAAAAAGUGACAGUGCAUUUUCAGUGUUUUAUGACAAUCUCUCCCCACAUCAUCUCCAUUAAUAAAUUUUCUUACACAUGAUCUUUCUCUUGCACAAAUUUAAGAUUAAACCAAAUCUCUAUCAGUACAUUUUUCCAUUGUUUCAAAGCAAAAAAAUAUCUACUACCACAGUAAAAAUGAGACAAACCCAAUUACAUGCUUGCUGACAUACAACACACAGAGACAGGGAGAAAGGCUCUGAUACUGAAACAAGAAAGAAACAAACUGAGCACCAGCUCUAAUGUAGCAAAAAAUCUCCCUUCUGAAGAGUUUAAUUAAUAGAGGUCUGCUGGUCAGUGGGAGACCCUCACGGGUGGCGCAGGAUGCAGCUGCACAGUUUGAUGGCGACUAGCAUUACACAUAAUGUCUCUGAAACUGCAAAACUGCCCGCUCACCAGAACCACGGGAACCUUCAGGACUUAACCGACAGGGAGUGCGACGCCUUGGCGGCUCUCCGUCGCUGACUGGGAGCGCGCUCGGCUGCCCCGCUGUCGCGGCCGCGGGCACCGGCCACGUCUCCCCUCGCUUCCCGGGGCGGCCGGGGGGCCCGAGCAGCCACGGUCCCUGGCGCUGCCGAAGCGGGCCGGGCCCCAGCGGCACCCGCCCAAACCCCUUCUUCCUCCUGACCUGGAACACCCCGGCCUGGCGGAGGGUAACAGCCAGCUGCUUCUCCAUACCUUAACGGCCCCUGAUGCUUCCAGGAUGCAGUCCCCCCCCCAGACACACACACCGCACACUGAGUGUGCAUUUCAUGACUUUGAAAACAUCACAAAAUGGAAAACCAAUAACAUCACAUCAACUGCAUCAUGAGAAAAGAGGAAGAUACUAAUAAAAGUGACAAAUGCCACUUUUCUUCACCCUUCUGCAUCAACAAAAGAAACACAAGACAGGCAAUAUGGAAAACAAACAAACAAACCACCAAGCCCUAAAUAGAUGCUGGAGACUGAGAAGUGUACAAUAGGAGAGCUAUCCAGCAGAUUGAAGAGGGGAAAAAAUAAAUAAAAUGAGAAAAACCCGAUGGAGGUAGUGUCUCCUGUGACAGAGCAGCAGAGCUCUGCAGAACCCCUCAUCGGAGCGGGGCGGGGAGCCUGCUAGCGUAUACCGCCUAUUUGGAAAAUUCAUUUCACCAGGAAACUUCAUUUCAUACUAACACUGAUUGGUAUCCAUAGAGUCCUUUCUGAAACAGAACACAAACUUGCCUGUAAAAUUACCAGCUCAAAAGUUGUGCUAUAAAUGUUAACCAUACCUGCAAACACAUACACGUAGGUUUAACUUCACCACUGUGAAAAGUCAUAGAAAGUUUAAAAUCUGUUUAAGAGUCAGUGUUAUCACUUACAAUAACAAAAUUAAGAAUUUGCAGGGUCACAAACAUAAAAACAAUGAAUUCCUACAGUGAAUGAAAACUACUACUAUUGGUGAGAAGUAUGAGCUAAAACAAGGUUUAAGCUUGAACUACAAUAUUAAGCUCUUUUUGGAGAAGAGUUUUUAAGCGGAACUUACAAAAACACAUCACUUGCCUGGCAGCGGAGAGGUUGUUUUCCCGUUCACGUGCUAGCUGUACCAGCUCUCUGAUUAAAAGCUGAGCCUUUUUUCUUGUCAAUCCCAGAAGCAAUUCCUCAGCAUGUAUUUUAUUAAUGGCUUCAAAUUAUUUUAAAUUCUGUACCAGCACUCAAUACCUUUUAUUUCCUCUAGGAGCAUCUUUGAAAAGCACAGUUAGGAGCAUCAGGAUCUUAUUAGGUACAUGGCUUCAAAACAAAUGCCGUAGCCCGAGAGGACAACGCAGCUGUUUCCCCCACCAUGGUCGUCUCCCCCCCUUUAAAAAUGCACAGUAUUUAUAGUAAGGAACUAAGCUACAAACUUGUCUUCAACUCCCUAGUUAUUCAUAUUUGAUUCUUAAUUUUCUCAUGUUCCUUGCUAGCUUGUUCAAAAAUUUGAAAGAUAUAUCCUGAUGUUAGCAUUUGAAUUUGUUAAUUUGCUAAUUUGUUAGCAUUAGUCAGCUAACACUCUUGAAAUAUCAGUUGUUUCUGCUGAAAAUGUUUCUACCACUACAUUUACUCACGUGCAAAGAUUUCUUCCUUCUCUUUGACUAAAAGUGAGUAAACACGACUUUUUUGCUCCUGCAUUCAAACCCUUAUUUGUUGAUAUAUGAGAUAAUUUAUAGAUAUUCAUGACCAUAUCCUUAUCUGCAACACUCAGAAAUAAUUUCUGAAUAAUUAAAUAUGAAAAAAGAAAAAGAAUAAUGCACUCGCACCACAACUUCUAAACUGAGAUAAACAAGGAAAACCAAUGGAAAACGGAAACAAAAACCACCUGUAAGUGCAGACUAAGCCGUAGCAGCUGCCCGGGGCACGACUCAGCAGGAGCCUCGCUGGCCGCACAGGGAGAAGCCAUCUGCCCUUUGCUGCUGCAUCGGCUCUUCGCUUCAGUCAGCGAAAAACCUCCAGAGGUCUGGAUUUGGCCUGUGAGGUGCCAGUUGGGUCCUUACGUUAUUUAUGGCUUUAAUCCACAAGUAUCACCAGAAUCGGAAUGUUUACCUCCGCAUUUUAUUUCUGCCUCAUCCUACAAUUACCAGGAGCAAGUCUGGGACCUUCCUAUUACUCUGAAUGAUGUUUUGAAGGUUCACACCAUUCAAACAAAUCUACCCGUAACAAUGAAAACCUACAAAGAUAGCCUUGAAAAUGGCAAAACCACAUGCCUGAAGGGUUCUCAGAAAGCGCUCAAAGACAGGCUACGUGACAACGAUAACUUAUGAAACCAACGCUCACGUGUUACACUUACGUGGCAGUCAGUAUGAAACAGUUUAGCUGCAAUGCUGAGAAGCGGCCGAGCGAUGCAAGUCCACAGCGCCAAGCCGUGACGUGCCACUCGCAGCACUAUCACUAUUUAAACGUUCUCACCAAUCCGCACACAACGGCACCAGCUUGUGUGCCAUCUGCACAACUUCAUCCCAGUGAACUUCUUAAUAUUGCUCAAGAAAGUGUCGCGCUACUUCCCAGACUGGAACCUCCUGACCGGAGCUGGUACGUGCAGCAAAGCGAGAUUUAAUAAGGCUGCAUUGCUACAAGCAAAGCUUAAAGCCAAAGAAAGACUGAAGAUAUAUUUAUCUGAGUUUUAUUUUAACAUAUUGCUUUCUGGUUAGAAUUAAAUAUUUACUGCUUAAUUUCA
Dromaius novaehollandiae (emu) is the source of this 12655-nucleotide long non-coding RNA. RefSeq lists it as uncharacterized. The transcript has 6 exons. The record is from RefSeq and is a predicted model, not a curated record. NCBI's taxonomy places the organism in Eukaryota, Metazoa, Chordata, Aves, Casuariiformes, Dromaiidae.